UACGAAGGGGGCUAGCGUUGUUCGGAAUUACUGGGCGUAAAGGGCGCGUAGGCGGUGUGUCAAGUCAGGCGUGAAAGCCCCGGGCUCAACCUGGGAACCGCGCUUGAGACUGGCACGCUCGAGUUCGGGAGAGGAUGGUGGAAUUCCCGAGUGUAGAGGUGAAAUUCGUAGAUAUUGGGAAGAACACCGAUGGCGAAGGCAGCCAUCUGGACCGACACUGACGCUGAGGCGCGAAAGCGUGGGGAGCAAACAGGG
RNAcentral lists this ribosomal RNA (255 nucleotides) under uncultured bacterium. RNAcentral describes it as "partial 16S ribosomal RNA". It matches the Rfam family "Bacterial small subunit ribosomal RNA", at positions 524 to 777 of the family's 1533-position model. The record is from RNAcentral.